Molecule: long non-coding RNA, 801 nt
Organism: Folsomia candida
Lineage: Eukaryota; Metazoa; Arthropoda; Collembola; Entomobryomorpha; Isotomidae
Exons: 3
Source: RefSeq, a predicted model, not a curated record
AAACAAUUUUGCAUCCGCAAAAAUUUUGUGGGCAAGUGGACUCCUUAAAAACAUAUUUUGUGUCGUAGUUGUGGUCGAUUUCCAAUUUACUAGUCAAAUUUUAAUAAAAUUGAAAUCCGGACUUCAAAUUUAUUUAUGCCAAACUUUUUUCCAGUGGCAAAAUUUGGACUGGGUAGAAAAAUGUCCUGAAACUAUUUAUCCUGGCAACAAUCCCACUGGUUUUACCGGUCCCACUAAACGUGGAGAAUGCUUUACUCCCAAAAUUUGAAAGUCUCAAAUCUUCUCAUGCUUCAAAUCCCUCUCAUGCUUUAUGGAGGAUGCUACCCGCCUGGUGGGUGGGGAUAUCCAAGUUUUCCUACAUUUCGUACCCAACAUAAACCAAGGCCGCUGUCAGACGGUUUUUAUUUCCGUCCGCGUCCCCCACAUUUCUAUACAGACCAUUUCUCACACUUAUAGACGAUUAAUGAAUAACAGGUUAGGGUUCGUUCAUAAAUUAUGUAAAGUGAAAAUCAAAUUUUCUAGACCCUUUCCUCUUAAUUUGUGUCACUUAGGCAAGAUAUCGUUGGAGUUUAUAUAUUUAUACCGUCUUGUUUUACAUACAGAAUUUAUGAGCGGCCCCUCACCUGCCCCUUGGCAGAGCAACAAUGCCAUCUUUGCAGUGACAUACAUUGACCCUUGCGCAUUUCCUUCACAGUUAACUUAUGUAAUGCUGUUUCGUAAAUUAGUAAAAGUGUCAAUCAUUUGUAAAAUAUAUCUAUCAUCAUAUAUCUAUCAUUUGUAAAAUAUAUUUACAUAUUUAUA